CCCAAAUAAUCUCCCAAAAUUAACACAUUCUCCUUCUCUGUCUUCUUCGACACUAGCAACCAUAACAGCUCAUGUAACACAGCCACAACCCACUUCUCAGCUUGAUCACCAUUGGGGUUUAAAUGAAAGGCAUUUUCAUAAGGUGAUAUGUAUGGCAAACCUUGCCAUUCAAAAACCCAAUCUUUCACCUUCUUCUUCAAAUCAAAACCAUUCGGGUAACUUAAAGAAAACCCAAUACGCUCCCCUUUCUUGACAUUUGUCAUAUCCCCAUGAGCCACUCUUUUCUCCAUUUCAGACACAGCUAAUUCAUCUCUCCAAGACACCAGCUCUAAAUGAAGCGUUUCUUUAUCACUAAAACAAUCUUGAGCCUCACAAACCUGAAAAUAUUCAGGAUAAUCUGAUAAAAGGGCUGUGAUAUAAUUAUGUGGCAAUCCCAGAUCAAACUUCAGCCUGUCAAUAAUAUGCAAAGGCAAUCUGGUUGCCCUAGUGAGCAUUAAAAGCUUAGCUAACCUUUUAACUGCAUCAUCUCUAUGAUUUGGAGAAUUAUGGAUCUCUUGUUCUUCUUUGUGGAUUGAGAGAGCCUGAGGGGUGAGCUUGACGUGGAGAGGGAGCGAAGCAGAGGGCUGGAACUGGGUAAAAAGAGUUGGGUAUUUUUGGAAGAACUUAAGGGCUGUGGUGGGGAGGUUUAGGAGGGGUUUGAGGACGGAGAUGGAGGAAAGAGGAAGAGAUUUUGAAGGAGAGGAGAGGAUUUGGUUCUUGACAGAAAUGGCUUGUUUAAGGUCUUUUUCUUUGGAGACUGCUUUAUCUAGAUACGGGUCGCGGACCCAUUUAACCUUGGCAGCUAUGAAGGUACGGUGGUGAUGGAGCUGGAGUGGGAAUUUGGCCCCGUAGAGACGCAUAUGUGUCAAUUGUCGCCGGCGGCUAAAGCCUUGAAUUGAAGGCUGGCUGUGGUUCUCGGCAGCGGAGAAGUGCGGCAGAAGGUUGAACAAGGUGUCUGCUGCAA
This 1003-nucleotide unclassified non-coding RNA is filed under the name Hevea brasiliensis (rubber tree). The record is from RNAcentral. Lineage: Eukaryota; Viridiplantae; Streptophyta; Magnoliopsida; Malpighiales; Euphorbiaceae.